This 509-nucleotide long non-coding RNA is filed under the name Drosophila guanche. The record is from RNAcentral. Lineage: Eukaryota; Metazoa; Arthropoda; Insecta; Diptera; Drosophilidae.
GGAAACACUCAACAGCAAGGCUACACAAACCAAAAGUCAAGCUACAGUUGACGUUGAAUCGUGUUCCCCAAAUUGAUUUUCGAACAUUCGUGCCAAAAUGGCAGAAUUGGUACCCAAGGCCAAUUGGGUUCGUUGGUUCUGAAAGCGAUACGGAAAUAAGUUUUUCGUAAAGGUGGACGAGAAUUUCAUGUGAGACACGUUCAAUCUCUUAUUCCUGGAGGGUGAGAAUUAUCAGAGGAGCCUCAAUGUGAUCCUCAACGAUUCCGAGCCCGAUGCUGGAAACAAUUUCGAUGUGGAGGCCGCUAAGCUCUACGGGCGUAUCCACGCCAGAUUCAUUCUCACAGAUCAUGGCAUCGAACUGAUCUACCAGAAGUUUCAAAAGGCGUCUUUGGCACAUGUCCACGCGCCUUAUGCACUCGCCAGAAAGUCCUUCCCAUUGCCAUGAGCGACACACCUGGCCAAGAAAUGGUGCGACUCUACUCUACUCUACCCAAGCACUCCAAGGCGAA